Molecule: ribosomal RNA, 425 nt
Filed under: uncultured bacterium
Lineage: Bacteria
Description: partial 16S ribosomal RNA
Rfam family: Bacterial small subunit ribosomal RNA
Source: RNAcentral
GUUAGGAAUAUUGGACAAUGGACGCAAGUCUGAUCCAGCCAUGCCGCGUGAGUGAUGAAGGCCUUCGGGUUGUAAAGCUCUUUAGCCGAUGAUUAUAAUGACUGUAGUCGGAAAAUAAGCCCCGGCUAACUUCGUGCCAGCAGCCGCGGUAAUACGAAGGGGGCGAGCGUUAUUCGGAAUCACUGGGCGUAAAGCGUGCGUAGGCGGCUUUGUAAGUAGGGAGUGAAAGCCCAGGGCUCAACCCUGGAAUUGCUCUCAAAACUACAAGACUUGAAUUCGGGAGAGGAUAGCGGAAUUGUCAGUGUAGCAGUGAAAUGCGUAGAUAUUGACAGGAACACCAGUGGCGUAAGCGGCUAUCUGGACCGACAUUGACGCUGAGGCACGAAAGCGUGGGGAUCAAACAGGAUUAGAAACCCUGGUAGUCC